Molecule: ribosomal RNA, 491 nt
Filed under: uncultured bacterium
Lineage: Bacteria
Description: bacterial SSU rRNA
Rfam family: Bacterial small subunit ribosomal RNA
Source: RNAcentral
GAUGAACGCUAGCGACAGGCUUAACACAUGCAAGUCGAGGGGUAACAGGGUAGCAAUACCGCUGACGACCGGCGCACGGGUGAGUAACGCGUAUGCAACCUGCCUAUAACUGGGGAAUAGCUCCCUGAAAGGGGAAUUAACACCGCAUAACACUAUUGAUUCGCAUGGAUUGGUAGUUAAAUGUAGCGAUACAGGUUAUAGAUGGGCAUGCGUGACAUUAGCUAGUUGGUGAGGUAACGGCUCACCAAGGCUACGAUGUCUAGGGGUUCUGAGAGGAAGGUCCCCCACACUGGUACUGAGACACGGACCAGACUCCUACGGGAGGCAGCAGUGAGGAAUAUUGGUCAAUGGGCGCAAGCCUGAACCAGCCAUGUCGCGUGCAGGAAGACUGCCCUAUGGGUUGUAAACUUCUUUUGUAUAGGGAUAAACCUACCCUCGUGAGGGUAGCUGAAGGUACUAUACGAAUAAGCACCGGCUAACUCCGUGCCAGC